CCUACGGGCGGCAGCAGUGGGGAAUAUUGGACAAUGGGGGAAACCCUGAUCCAGCGACGCCGCGUGAGUGAAGAAGUAUUUCGGUAUGUAAAGCUCUAUCAGCAGGAAAGAAAAUGACGGUACCUGACUAAGAAGCCCCGGCUAACUACGUGCCAGCAGCCGCGGUAAUACGUAGGGGGCAAGCGUUAUCCGGAUUUACUGGGUGUAAAGGGAGCGUAGACGGCAGCGCAAGUCUGGAGUGAAAUGCCGGGGCUCAACCCCGGAACUGCUCUGGAAACUGUGAAGCUGGAGUGCAGGAGAGGUAAGCGGAAUUCCUGGUGUAGCGGUGAAAUGCGUAGAUAUCAGGAGGAACACCAGCGGCGAAGGCGGCUUACUGGACUGUAACUGACGUUGAGGCUCGAAGGCGUGGGGAGCAAACAGGAUUAGAUACCCGAGUAGUC
Molecule: ribosomal RNA, 440 nt
Filed under: uncultured bacterium
Lineage: Bacteria
Description: partial 16S ribosomal RNA
Rfam family: Bacterial small subunit ribosomal RNA
Source: RNAcentral